RNAcentral lists this ribosomal RNA (465 nucleotides) under uncultured bacterium. Its description in RNAcentral is "partial 16S ribosomal RNA". It matches the Rfam family "Bacterial small subunit ribosomal RNA", at positions 28 to 507 of the family's 1533-position model. The record is from RNAcentral.
GACGAACGCUGGCGGCGUGCUUAACACAUGCAAGUCGUACGGUAAGGCCCUUUCGGGGGUACACGAGUGGCGCACGGGUGCGUAACACGUGAGUAACCUGCCCACAACUUUGGGAUAACGCUAGGAAACUGGUGCUAAUACUGGAUAUGUGCUCCUUCUGCAUGGUGGGGGUUGGAAAGCUCCGGCGGUUGUGGAUGGACUCGCGGCCUAUCAGCUUGUUGGUGGGGUAGUGGCCUACCAAGGCGGCGACGGGUAGCCGGCCUGAGAGGGUGACCGGCCACAUUGGGACUGAGAUACGGCCCAGACUCCUACGGGAGGCAGCAGUGGGGAAUAUUGCACAAUGGGCGCAAGCCUGAUGCAGCAGCGCCGCGUGCGGGAUGACGGCCUUCGGGUUGUAAACCGCUUUCAGCAGGGACGAAGCUUUUUGUGACGGUACCUGCAGAAGAAGCACCGGCUAACUACGUG